AUUGAACGCUGGCGGAAUGCUUUACACAUGCAAGUCGAACGGCAGCACGGACUUCGGUCUGGUGGCGAGUGGUGAACGGGUGAGUAAUAUAUCGGAACGUGCCCAGUCGUGGGGGAUAACGUAGUGAAAAUUACGCUAAUACCGCAUACGAUCUAUGGAUGAAAGCGGGGGAUCGCAAGACCUCGCGCGAUUGGAGCGGCCGAUAUCAGAUUAGGUAGUUGGUGAGGUAAAGGCUCACCAAGCCGACGAUCUGUAGCUGGUCUGAGAGGACGACCAGCCACACUGGAACUGAGACACGGUCCAGACUCCUACGGGAGGCAGCAGUGGGGAAUUUUGGACACUGGACGCAAGUCUGAUCCAGCCAUUCCGCGUGCAGGACGAAGGCCUUCGGGUUGUAAACUGCUUUUGUACAGAACGAAAAGGUCUCUAUUAAUACUAGGGGCUCAUGACGGUACUGUAAGAAUAAGCACCGGCUAACUACGUGCCAGCCGCCGCCGUAA
RNAcentral lists this ribosomal RNA (500 nucleotides) under uncultured bacterium. Its description in RNAcentral is "partial 16S ribosomal RNA". It matches the Rfam family "Bacterial small subunit ribosomal RNA", at positions 30 to 523 of the family's 1533-position model. The record is from RNAcentral.